CCUACGGGGGGCAGCAGUGGGGAAUAUUGCACAAUGGGGGGAACCCUGAUGCAGCAAUGCCGCGUGGGUGAAGAAGCACUUCGGUGCGUAAAGCCCUGUCAGCAGGGAAGAAAAUGACAGUACCUGACCAAGAAGCCCCGGCUAACUACGUGCCAGCAGCCGCGGUAAUACGUAGGGGGCAAGCGUUAUCCGGAUUCACUGGUUGUAAAGGGAGCGUAGACGGCUGAGCAAGCCUGAAGUGAAGGCGGGGGCCUAACCCCCGGACUGCUUUGGGAACUGUACGGCUAGAGUGCAGGAGAGGUAAGUGGAAUUCCUAGUGUAGCGGUGAAAUGCGUAGAUAUUAGGAGGAACACCAGUGGCGAAGGCGGCUUACUGGACUGUAACUGACGUUGAGGCUCGAAAGCGUGGGGAGCAAACAGGAUUAGAUACCCGAGUAGUC
RNAcentral lists this ribosomal RNA (439 nucleotides) under uncultured bacterium. RNAcentral describes it as "partial 16S ribosomal RNA". It matches the Rfam family "Bacterial small subunit ribosomal RNA", at positions 338 to 795 of the family's 1533-position model. The record is from RNAcentral.